This 838-nucleotide long non-coding RNA is filed under the name Homo sapiens (human). RNAcentral's name for it is "non-protein coding lnc-PVALB-2:1". The record is from RNAcentral. Lineage: Eukaryota; Metazoa; Chordata; Mammalia; Primates; Hominidae.
CUCAGCCUCCCGAGUAGCUGGGACUACAGGCGACUGCUGCCACGCCCGGCUAAUUUUUUGUGUUUUUAGUAAAGACAAGGUUUCACCGUGUUAGCCAGGUCGAUCUCCUGACCUCGUGGUCCACCCGCCGAACGAGGUCGAUCUCCUGACGUCGUGGUUCACCCGCCUCGGCCUCCCAAAGUGCUGGGAUUACAGACGUGAGCCACCGCGCCCGGCAUGAAUAGUACUUAUACAUGUUUAGAUGCAAAUCUUUCCUUACAUAGUGUUCCUCCCCUCUGGAGGAUGCGGCGCUCAAGAUGCCAUGUUGGAAACAGAGAAACUGGACCCUGAUCUACCGGUGCCUUGACCUUGGACUGCCCAGCCUCCAGACCUGUGUGAAAUAAAUUUAUUUUCUUUAUAAAUUAUCCAAUCGGUGGUAUUCUGCUAUAGAAGCACAAAACAGACUAAGACAGGCAAGAAGAUUAUUCUGGCUGCAUAGAUGAGUUGGGAAAUAGUCUAUCUUCUAUUUUCUGGAAGAUUUUUUUGUAAUGUUAGCAUAAUCUGCUGUUCUAACGUUUGGUAGAACUUGCCCAUAAAACUGUAUGUGCCUGGGGAGGCAACAUUUCAACUUCAAUGUAUUUAAUAGUUAAAGGAAAAUUCAGUCUCUCUAUUCUCUUGAUUUUUUAAACCAAAUUAUACUAUUCUAAGUAUUUGUUUAACCUAAAUUUUAAAAUUUAGAAUAUAAAGCUUUUGACGAAAUUCUCAGUGUAUUUUAAACCUCUGUUUCAUCUAUAAUUAUGGUUCAUUUACAUUCCUAAUACUAUUUUUUCUUCUUUCUUUUUAUCUUCAUCAGUUUUAC